GGGACGGUAGCUCAGCCGGGAGAGCACACGGCUGAAGACCGUGGGGUCGUGGGUUCGAGUCCCACCCGUCCCA
RNAcentral lists this transfer RNA (73 nucleotides) under Nanobdellota archaeon. Its description in RNAcentral is "tRNA-Phe". It matches the Rfam family "tRNA". From Rfam's summary of the family: Transfer RNA (tRNA) molecules are approximately 80 nucleotides in length. Their secondary structure includes four short double-helical elements and three loops (D, anti-codon, and T loops). The record is from RNAcentral. Lineage: Archaea; Nanobdellati; Nanobdellota.